RNAcentral lists this ribosomal RNA (1161 nucleotides) under uncultured marine eukaryote. Its description in RNAcentral is "SSU rRNA". It matches the Rfam family "Eukaryotic small subunit ribosomal RNA", at positions 603 to 1776 of the family's 1831-position model. The record is from RNAcentral.
ACUAAAGUUGUUGCGGUUAAAAAGCUCGUAGUUGGAUCUAUGAAUGUGAACGCGAGGUCGCUUUAUUGAGUGAACUUUGUGGCGCAUUCUUCCCUUUGGUCGGUGUGUUCGUGCUCUUAAUUGAGUGCGACAUGCUACCAGAAAUUUUACCUUGAAAAAAUUAGAGUGUUCAAAGCAGACCUUUUUGUGUCUGAAUAUUCGUGCAUGGAAUAAUAAAAUAUGAAUUCGGUUCUAUUUUAUUGGUUUUCGGAACUCGAGUUAAUGAUUAAGAGGGACAGACGGGGGCAUCCGUACUCUGCCGUUAGAGGUGAAAUUCUUGGAUCGGCGGAAGACGCGCAACUGCGAAAGCAUUUGCCAAGAAUGUUUUCUUUAAUCAAGAACGAUAGUCGGAGGUUCGAAGACGAUCAGAUACCGUCCUAGUUUCGACUGUAAACUAUGCCAGCUAACGAUCAGACAGCGUUCUCUACGACUUGUCUGGCAGUUUCCGGGAAACCAAAGCUUUUGGGUUCCGGGGGAAGUAUGGUUGCAAAGCUGAAACUUAAAGGAAUUGACGGAAGGGCACCACCAGGAGUGGAGCCUGCGGCUUAAUUUGACUCAACACGGGGAAACUCACCCGGCCCGGACACAGUGAGGAUUGACAGAUUGAGAGUUCUUUCUUGAUUCUGUGGGUGGUGGUGCAUGGCCGUUCUUAGUUGGUGGAGCGAUUUGUCUGGUUAAUUCCGAUAACGAACGAGACUCUGGCAUGUUAAAUAGUCGCGGGAGUAAUUUUAACUCACCAUGAGACUUCUUAGAGGGACAAGUGAUUCUAAUCACACGAGAUUGAGCAAUAACAGGUCUGUGAUGCCCUUAGAUGUUCGGGGCCGCACGCGCGCUACAAUGAGUCGAUCAACGAGCGUAUAUUAUUAUCCAAGUCCGAAAGGUCGAGGUAAUCCGUUGAACCCGACUCGUGCUAGGGAUAGGGAAUUGUAAUUGUUUCCCUUGAACGAGGAAUUCCCAGUAAGCGCAAGUCAUCAGCUUGCGUUGAUUACGUCCCUGCCCUUUGUACACACCGCCCGUCGCUACUACCGAUUGAAUGGUUCAGUGAGAUAAUCGGACAGAUAACUUGGCAACUGGCAACAGUUGACGUGCAUAUUUGGAAGACGAUCAAACUUGGUCAUUUAG